RNAcentral lists this long non-coding RNA (302 nucleotides) under Oryza brachyantha (malo sina). Its description in RNAcentral is "long non-coding RNA (OBRA_LNC003054)". The record is from RNAcentral. Lineage: Eukaryota; Viridiplantae; Streptophyta; Magnoliopsida; Poales; Poaceae.
GUCGGCCGGCUAGCUGAUGGAGCUGAAGAGCUAUAGCUGCGGUUUUAAAAGCCACCUGCAGAGUCGUUGCAUUGCCUCCCUGCCUCUGCCUGCCCUUGUUACCUCUCUGAAUUUAACAGCAACUAAGACCUUCUUCGGUACAUUUCUACUAGUAGUAUUAUACUAUCAGUGAAAUUAAUCUAAAUCAUUCAUUAUAGAGAGUAAUUUAGUACCUUGUUAAUUAAGUAUUAAACUACCGGUAGAAUUAAUCUGAGCCAUUUAUUAAAAAGGAUAAUUUAGUAUUUUGUUAAUUAAUAUUUUGU